UUAAAUAUGGGAAGUUUUACUUUCUGUAUUACAGCUAACGCGUUAAACAUUCCGCCUGGGGACUACGGUCGCAAGAUUAAAACUCAAAGGAAUUGACGGGGACCCGCACCAGCGGUGGAGCAUGUGGUUUAAUUCGAUGCAACGCGAAAAACCCUUACCACUCCUUGACAUGGAAAAUUAUACCUAUUCGAAGGGAUAGGGUCGGUUCGGCCGGGUUUCACACAGGUGUUGCAUGGCUGUCGUCAGCUCGUGUCGUGAGAUGUUGGGUUAAGUCCCGCAACGAGCGCAACCCUCAUCCUUAGUUACCAUCAGGUAAUGCUGGGGACUUUAAGGAGACUGCCAGUGAUAAACUGGAGGAAGGUGGGGAUGAUGUCAAGUCAUCAUGGCCCUUAUGGAGUGGGCUACACACGUGCUACAAUGGUGGCUACAAUGGGCUGCAAAGUCGCGAGGCUAAGCCAAUCCCUUAAAAGCCAUCUCAGUUCGGAUUGUACUCCGCAACUCGAGUGCAUGAAGUUGGAAUCGCUAGUAAUCGUGGAUCAGCACGCCACGGUGAAUACGUUCUCGGGUCUUGUACACACUGCCCGUCACGCCAUGGGAAUUGGUUUCACUCGAAGCUAACGACCUAACCGCAAGGAGGGAGUUAUUUAAAGUGGGAUCGGUGACUGGGGUG
Molecule: ribosomal RNA, 670 nt
Filed under: uncultured bacterium
Lineage: Bacteria
Description: bacterial SSU rRNA
Rfam family: Bacterial small subunit ribosomal RNA
Source: RNAcentral